Molecule: ribosomal RNA, 2775 nt
Filed under: Enterobacter cloacae
Lineage: Bacteria; Pseudomonadati; Pseudomonadota; Gammaproteobacteria; Enterobacterales; Enterobacteriaceae
Description: bacterial LSU rRNA
Rfam family: Bacterial large subunit ribosomal RNA
Source: RNAcentral
AGCGUACACGGUGGAUGCCCUGGCAGUCAGAGGCGAUGAAGGACGUGCUAAUCUGCGAAAAGCGCCGGCGAGGUGAUAUGAACCCUUGACCCGGCGAUGUCCGAAUGGGGAAACCCAGUGCAAUCCGUUGCACUAUCGUUAACUGAAUACAUAGGUUAACGAGGCGAACCGGGGGAACUGAAACAUCUAAGUACCCCGAGGAAAAGAAAUCAACCGAGAUUCCCCCAGUAGCGGCGAGCGAACGGGGAGCAGCCCGGAGUCUGAAUCAGCUUGUGUGUUAGUGGAACGGUCUGGAAAGUCCGACGGUACAGGGUGAUAGUCCCGUACACGAAAAUGCACAUGCUGUGAACUCGAAGAGUAGGGCGGGACACGUGGUAUCCUGUCUGAAUAUGGGGGGACCAUCCUCCAAGGCUAAAUACUCCUGACUGACCGAUAGUGAACCAGUACCGUGAGGGAAAGGCGAAAAGAACCCCGGCGAGGGGAGUGAAAAAGAACCUGAAACCGUGUACGUACAAGCAGUGGGAGCCUCUUUAUGGGGUGACUGCGUACCUUUUGUAUAAUGGGUCAGCGACUUAUAUUCUGUAGCAAGGUUAACCGUAUAGGGGAGCCGAAGGGAAACCGAGUCUUAACUGGGCGUUAAGUUGCAGGGUAUAGACCCGAAACCCGGUGAUCUAGCCAUGGGCAGGUUGAAGGUUGGGUAACACUAACUGGAGGACCGAACCGACUAAUGUUGAAAAAUUAGCGGAUGACCUGUGGCUGGGGGUGAAAGGCCAAUCAAACCGGGAGAUAGCUGGUUCUCCCCGAAAGCUAUUUAGGUAGCGCCUCGUGAACUCAUCUUCGGGGGUAGAGCACUGUUUCGGCUAGGGGGCCAUCCCGGCUUACCAACCCGAUGCAAACUACGAAUACCGAAGAAUGUUAUCACGGGAGACACACGGCGGGUGCUAACGUCCGUCGUGAAGAGGGAAACAACCCAGACCGCCAGCUAAGGUCCCAAAGUCAUGGUUAAGUGGGAAACGAUGUGGGAAGGCACAGACAGCCAGGAUGUUGGCUUAGAAGCAGCCAUCAUUUAAAGAAAGCGUAAUAGCUCACUGGUCGAGUCGGCCUGCGCGGAAGAUGUAACGGGGCUAAACCAUGCACCGAAGCUGCGGCAGCGACACUUAUGUGUUGUUGGGUAGGGGAGCGUUCUGUAAGCCGUUGAAGGUGUGCUGUGAGGCAUGCUGGAGGUAUCAGAAGUGCGAAUGCUGACAUAAGUAACGAUAAAGCGGGUGAAAAGCCCGCUCGCCGGAAGACCAAGGGUUCCUGUCCAACGUUAAUCGGGGCAGGGUGAGUCGACCCCUAAGGCGAGGCCGAAAGGCGUAGUCGAUGGGAAACAGGUUAAUAUUCCUGUACUUGGUGUUACUGCGAAGGGGGGACGGAGAAGGCUAUGUCAGCCGGGCGACGGUUGUCCCGGUUUAAGCAUGUAGGCGGAGGUUCCAGGUAAAUCCGGUACCUUGUUAACGCUGAGGUGUGAUGACGAGGCACUACGGUGCUGAAGUGAUAAAUGCCCUGCUUCCAGGAAAAGCCUCUAAGCAUCAGGUAACACGAAAUCGUACCCCAAACCGACACAGGUGGUCAGGUAGAGAAUACCAAGGCGCUUGAGAGAACUCGGGUGAAGGAACUAGGCAAAAUGGUGCCGUAACUUCGGGAGAAGGCACGCUGAUGUGUAGGUGAAGCCCCUGCGGGUGGAGCUGAAAUCAGUCGAAGAUACCAGCUGGCUGCAACUGUUUAUUAAAAACACAGCACUGUGCAAACACGAAAGUGGACGUAUACGGUGUGACGCCUGCCCGGUGCCGGAAGGUUAAUUGAUGGGGUUAGCGGCAACGCGAAGCUCUUGAUCGAAGCCCCGGUAAACGGCGGCCGUAACUAUAACGGUCCUAAGGUAGCGAAAUUCCUUGUCGGGUAAGUUCCGACCUGCACGAAUGGCGUAAUGAUGGCCAGGCUGUCUCCACCCGAGACUCAGUGAAAUUGAACUCGCUGUGAAGAUGCAGUGUACCCGCGGCAAGACGGAAAGACCCCGUGAACCUUUACUAUAGCUUGACACUGAACACUGGUCCUUGAUGUGUAGGAUAGGUGGGAGGCUUUGAAGCGUGGACGCCAGUCUGCGUGGAGCCAACCUUGAAAUACCACCCUUUAAUGGCUGGUGUUCUAACGUAGACCCGUAAUCCGGGUUGCGGACAGUGUCUGGUGGGUAGUUUGACUGGGGCGGUCUCCUCCCAAAGAGUAACGGAGGAGCACGAAGGUUGGCUAAUCCUGGUCGGACAUCAGGAGGUUAGUGCAAUGGCAUAAGCCAGCUUGACUGCGAGCGUGACGGCGCGAGCAGGUGCGAAAGCAGGUCAUAGUGAUCCGGUGGUUCUGAAUGGAAGGGCCAUCGCUCAACGGAUAAAAGGUACUCCGGGGAUAACAGGCUGAUACCGCCCAAGAGUUCAUAUCGACGGCGGUGUUUGGCACCUCGAUGUCGGCUCAUCACAUCCUGGGGCUGAAGUAGGUCCCAAGGGUAUGGCUGUUCGCCAUUUAAAGUGGUACGCGAGCUGGGUUUAGAACGUCGUGAGACAGUUCGGUCCCUAUCUGCCGUGGGCGCUGGAGAAUUGAGGGGGGCUGCUCCUAGUACGAGAGGACCGGAGUGGACGCAUCACUGGUGUUCGGGUUGUCAUGCCAAUGGCACUGCCCGGUAGCUAAAUGCGGAAGAGAUAAGUGCUGAAAGCAUCUAAGCACGAAACUUGCCCCGAGAUGAGUUCU